CCCAGAGCCUUGAGCUCUUUGAAGGGUCGUUCGAGACCAGGACGUUGAUAGGUCAGGUGUGGAAGUGCAGUAAUGCAUUAAGCUAACUGAUACUAAUUGCCCGUACGGCUUGUCCCU
This 117-nucleotide non-coding RNA is filed under the name Duganella sacchari. RNAcentral describes it as "23S rRNA. Bacterial LSU". It matches the Rfam family "Bacterial large subunit ribosomal RNA", at positions 2813 to 2925 of the family's 2925-position model. The record is from RNAcentral. Lineage: Bacteria; Pseudomonadati; Pseudomonadota; Betaproteobacteria; Burkholderiales; Oxalobacteraceae.